CAGAGAGCUCUACCUUUGCUCUUUUUCAACUUUGAAAAUUCAACACCCACAAAUAAUCAUCGUUUGCUAAGGGAAAUAAGUGAGAAAAAAUUAGGAGAGAGUGUGGAGCAAGAUCAUCAAGUGGAAACCUCCUCUCCUCUCUCUCUUGUUUCACUAAUCUUUGAGUUCUCAUCUUCUUGUUGUUCUUGCUUUGUUCUUCGUGUUCUUUAGGCAAGAUGAAUUGAAAAGUUGGAGGUGCACUCAGGAGCAUCAGGAGACCACUCUCCUUCCGCAACACCCGAAGCUGUUCAUCAUCUUAAGUACCUUCGUUUGCUGGUUUUGGAAUGGACAUCGAUCCUCCCAAGUAUCACACCCCGUCAUCCUCUUCCCAACGGGAAGAGAGGUGCUUCACAUGAGCCACAUCAGCCGUGGUCCACCCACUCAGGAUGGGAGGACCAAGCCACAUAUCAGCAAGGAGAGUCUUGUACAUCCACAGGAUGGGGAACAUUCCCCACACAGGAGCCAGACAACACCGGACAAUAUUUUUAGAGAGGUCAUGCAUCAUUUUCUGUGUAUAUAAAUACGGACUACACUAGUGGACUGUAUCCGUUCCAUGCACCACCGGCAAAUGACUACAUGCUGCCACCUGAACAGCACUUCGAGACUCCCAUUAACGAUUACCCGGCCAUGUCCAUGCAUUUCACUAACCUUCAGCAGGGACAGCAGAUGAUAAACGACACUUUGCACCGACACGAGCAGUGGCAAAAUCAUAUUGAUGAUAGGUUUCGGGCAGCAGGAACAGUGGCAGCACCAGGCGGACCAGCAGUUCAGACAGCUAUACCAUGGACAACAGCACAUGUAGACUGGGUUGGAGUACCUAAUAGACCAGAUGGGGUACCCACCACCACCUCCACCAUAUUAUUGAGCUCAGCAACAUGCAGCUUGGGGGAGAGCCCCCACAAGAAAAGACUAAAAAGAAGGAUUAGAGUGAAAAUCUGCCACGAAACUUAUCCGUGACGCAACAACACCGCCAACAAGGUCAGGAAGGCUCUAGAAGACACCCGAAGCAGCGGGACCGGCAGAGGCCACCAGGUGGGGUUAGCCAGACCCACCAUGGCGCCAUUCGGCCCCUAGGGUUAGGGUUUGGGUGUCCCCUUCCGGAAGCUUCCUCCACCACCUCCUACAAUGUAUUCUGACCCUUGGUUAAGUUGGUUUGAUCCUGCGGCGCACGUGCACUCCACCAGGCUAUAAAUAAAGAGGCAGACCCCCCUUUAGAAGGGAACCAAUUCAUUUCUCUUGCUUCAUUUGUCAAGAGUAGUCAGAAGUUAGGGUUUCUAGAGAUUAGAAGUAAAGCUCUUGUUCUUUAAGUUCUUAGUAUAGGCGUCUAUCAAGAUUCAAGUAGCGAUC
Molecule: long non-coding RNA, 1386 nt
Organism: Sorghum bicolor (sorghum)
Lineage: Eukaryota; Viridiplantae; Streptophyta; Magnoliopsida; Poales; Poaceae
Exons: 3
Source: RefSeq, a predicted model, not a curated record